This 441-nucleotide ribosomal RNA is filed under the name uncultured bacterium. RNAcentral describes it as "partial 16S ribosomal RNA". It matches the Rfam family "Bacterial small subunit ribosomal RNA", at positions 338 to 795 of the family's 1533-position model. The record is from RNAcentral.
CCUACGGGAGGCAGCAGUGGGGAAUAUUGGGCAAUGGGCGCAAGCCUGACCCAGCAACGCCGCGUGAAGGAAGAAGGCUUUCGGGUUGUAAACUUCUUUUAAGAGGGAAGAGCAGAAGACGGUACCUCUUGAAUAAGCCACGGCUAACUACGUGCCAGCAGCCGCGGUAAUACGUAGGUGGCAAGCGUUGUCCGGAUUUACUGGGUGGAAAGGGCGUGCAGCCGGGAAGACAAGUCAGCGGUAAAAUCGCGGGGCUCAACCUCGCUCCGCCGUUGAAACUGGCGUUCUUGAGUGGGCGAGAAGUAUGCGGAAUGCGUGGUGUAGCGGUGAAAUGCAUAGAUAUCACGCAGAACUCCGAUUGCGAAGGCAGCAUACCGGCGCCCAACUGACGCUGAAGCACGAAAGCGUGGGUAUCGAACAGGAUUAGAUACCCUUGUAGUC